This 961-nucleotide long non-coding RNA is filed under the name Mytilus galloprovincialis (Mediterranean mussel). The record is from RNAcentral. Lineage: Eukaryota; Metazoa; Mollusca; Bivalvia; Mytilida; Mytilidae.
UCAUGACCGAACUUAGGCGGGAGGAUCGGCAGUCCUUUGUACACUUCCUUCGAAUGCCCACAGAGAUGUUCGACGAGAUAUUGCAAGUUGGACCUCGCAUAGCCAAGCAGAAUACCUUUUACAGAAAUCCACUGGAACCAGGACUCAAGUUAGCAAUUACACUUAGACACCUUGCUUCUGGAGCAAAAUAUCGUAGCAUGCAGUACGGAUGAAGAGUUCCGUAUAACACAUUAUCCGUUUUCAUACCAGAGGUACAUAAUAUAAACAAAUUCAGAAAAUCAACUUAAACUCUAUAAGACUGAAUUACCACACUGCUUCUACCUUGAUUUUUUUUUUAAUCAGAGUAGCUCUAUAUUUGCACACAUAUCAUGCUAAACAAGACGCAAUACAAAAUAAAAUCAACUAAACCUGUUAACUAAAGUGACCCUCGUGUGUAAAAACGUAAAAAAGAAUCGGAUAAAUUGUUCUAUUUGUUUGGUACGUGUGACCUUGAUACCUGUCCUACUGACCACACUUUCCCAGAAGCAAAUAUUAUAACAUAUUUACAUGUACUAGAUACAAUCAUUUUAAGGUCACGUGUAUGUGGUUUAUUGCCUUUAAUUUUCAGAUGGUUUAUUGCUUUUAAUUUUCAGAUGGUUUAUUGCCUUAAAUUUUUAGAUGGUUAAUUGCCUUUAAUUUUCAGAUUAUUUUGUUCAUCCGUUUUAUCCGUUACGCUUCCGUUAGGUGUCCGUUUUAUCCGGUACUCGUCCGUUGGAUGUACGUUCGACGUCCGUUCUGUCCGGUACGUAUCCGUUUCACGUACGUUCAAUGUCCGUUGUGUGUCCGUUAGGCAUUCGUUACAUGUCCGUUAGUAAACCAACGGACUCCCAACGGAUAAAAAUUUUGUCAACGGAUAACUUUUUUUUUAUCCGUUAGGCGUCCGUUCGAGCUAUCCGGUAAGGUGUGACCGAGGCUUUAGUUU